Molecule: ribosomal RNA, 890 nt
Filed under: uncultured bacterium
Lineage: Bacteria
Description: bacterial SSU rRNA
Rfam family: Bacterial small subunit ribosomal RNA
Source: RNAcentral
AGAGUUUGAUCCUGGCUCAGGAUGAACGCCGGCGGUGUGCCUAAUACAUGCAAGUCGUACGCACUGGCCCAACUGAUUGAUGGUGCUUGCACCUGAUUGACGAUGGAUCACCAGUGAGUGGCGGACGGGUGAGUAACACGUAGGUAACCUGCCCCGGAGCGGGGGAUAACAUUUGGAAACAGAUGCUAAUACCGCAUAACAACAAAAGCCACAUGGCUUUUGUUUGAAAGAUGGCUUUGGCUAUCACUCUGGGGUGGACCUGCGGUGCAUUAGCUAGUUGGUAAGGUAACGGCUUACCAAGGCGAUGAUGCAUAGCCGAGUUGAGAGACUGAUCGGCCACAAUGGAACUGAGACACGGUCCAUACUCCUACGGGAGGCAGCAGUAGGGAAUCCUCCACAAUGGGCGCAAGCCUGAUGGAGCAACACCGCGUGAGUGAAGAAGGGUUUCGGCUCGUAAAGCUCUGUUGUUGGAGAAGAACGUGCGUGAGAGUAACUGUUCACGCAGUGACGGUAUCCAACCAGAAAGUCACGGCUAACUACGUGCCAGCAGCCGCGGUAAUACGUAGGUGGCAAGCGUUAUCCGGAUUUAUUGGGCGUAAAGCGAGCGCAGGCGGUCGCUUAGGUCUGAUGUGAAAGCCUUCGGCUUAACCGAAGAAGUGCAUCGGAAACCGGGCGACUUGAGUGCAGAAGAGGACAGUGGAACUCCAUGUGUAGCGGUGGAAUGCGUAGAUAUAUGGAAGAACACCAGUGGCGAAGGCGGCUGUCUGGUCUGCAACUGACGCUGAGGCUCGAAAGCAUGGGUAGCGAACAGGAUUAGAUACCCUGGUAGUCCAUGCCGUAAACGAUGAGUGCUAGGUGUUGGAGGGUUUCCGCCCUUCAGUGCCGGAGCU